UACGAAGGGUGCAAGCGUUAAUCGGAAUUACUGGGCGUAAAGCGUGCGUAGGCGGUUUGUUAAGUCUGCUGUGAAAUCCCCGGGCUCAACCUGGGAAUGGCAGUGGAUACUGGCAAGCUAGAGUGUGUCAGAGGAUGGUGGAAUUCCCGGUGUAGCGGUGAAAUGCGUAGAGAUCGGGAGGAACACCGGAUGGCGAAGGCGAGCUCGG
Molecule: ribosomal RNA, 208 nt
Filed under: uncultured bacterium
Lineage: Bacteria
Description: partial 16S ribosomal RNA
Rfam family: Bacterial small subunit ribosomal RNA
Source: RNAcentral